Molecule: unclassified non-coding RNA, 326 nt
Filed under: uncultured fungus
Lineage: Eukaryota; Fungi
Description: partial contains 5.8S ribosomal RNA and internal transcribed spacer 2
Rfam family: 5.8S ribosomal RNA (bases 1-133)
Source: RNAcentral
UGGUUCUGGCAUCGAUGAAGAACGCAGCGAAAUGCGAUAAGUAAUGUGAAUUGCAGAAUUCAGUGAAUCAUCGAAUCUUUGAACGCACAUUGCGCCCGCCAGCAUUCUGGCGGGCAUGCCUGUUCGAGCGUCAUUUCAACCCUCAAGCACCGCUUGGCGUUGGGGCCCUACGGCUUCCGUAGGCCCCGAAAUACAGUGGCGGACCCUCCCGGAGCCUCCUUUGCGUAGUAACAUACCACCUCGCACUGGGAUCCGGAGGGACUCCUGCCGUAAAACCCCCCAAUUUUCCAAAGGUUGACCUCGGAUCAGGUAGGAAUACCCGCUGA